CCUACGGGUGGCAGCAGUGAGGAAUAUUGGUCAAUGGACGAGAGUCUGAACCAGCCAAGUAGCGUGAAGGAUGACUGCCCUAUGGGUUGUAAACUUCUUUUAUAAAGGAAUAAAACGAGGCACGUGUGCCUUUUUGCAUGUACUUUAUGAAUAAGGAUCGGCUAACUCCGUGCCAGCAGCCGCGGUAAUACGGAGGAUCCGAGCGUUAUCCGGAUUUAUUGGGUUUAAAGGGAGCGUAGAUGGGUUGUUAAGUCAGUUGUGAAAGGUUGCGGCUCAACCGUAAAAUUGCAAUUGAUACUGGCAGUCUUGAGUACAGUUGAGGUAGGCGGAAUUCGUGGUGUAGCGGUGAAAUGCUUAGAUAUCACGAAGAACCCCGAUUGCGAAGGCAGCUUACUAAACUGUGACUGACAUUGAGGCUCGAAAGUGUGGGUAUCAAACAGGAUUAGAUACCCGAGUAGUC
Molecule: ribosomal RNA, 460 nt
Filed under: uncultured bacterium
Lineage: Bacteria
Description: partial 16S ribosomal RNA
Rfam family: Bacterial small subunit ribosomal RNA
Source: RNAcentral